This is a long non-coding RNA of Uranotaenia lowii, 1864 nucleotides long. RefSeq lists it as uncharacterized. The record is from RefSeq and is a predicted model, not a curated record. The transcript has 3 exons. Lineage: Eukaryota; Metazoa; Arthropoda; Insecta; Diptera; Culicidae.
GUUAUUCUUUCCCACUGUUGAUGGAACAUUUUGUUGCAACUGGCCGUUUCCAGUCAACCCUGACCCCGAUCGUUCGCCAGCGGAACGGAUUCCCCUAGCAUUCAUCAAAAUUCAAGGAAAUUUGCUACACCGCUUAGCAUCCGAUGGAACAACUAAUGAAAAAUUUAAGAAGAACCAAUUGGACAGAUGGAUCAUUAAUUUUGGCUGCCUGUUCUUGUGAGGAAUCAGCCAGCACCGAACUCGAUCGUUUGCCAGUGCGACUCAUUCUAGCAGAAUUCGAGAAAAAUGGAAUCUUCUAUUCUUCCGCUGUACAGCAGACGGAAUUUCCGAGGAAAGAAUCUUGCAAGCCAAACAACCUGAUUGUCCUGCCCAGUUAUGAAGCUACCACGCUAGUUCCUCGAGAAACCUUGAUAACAUCAUUUUAAGAUUAUUUAGUCCUGAUAUGCAAGUGAAAAAUAUCGAUUCGGAAUUCGGAUACUAGCUAUGCGACAAAGGACUGGGAAAAAUACGCCAAGGAGCUAAUUCGGAUGUACAAACAAUGGAAUUUUCAAUGCCGGUCGCAUAGGUGAAUUAAUAACAAGUGAUUCAACUACACGUUGAACUGGCCCUUAGAAUGUUAAACAUGUUGGUUUCAUAAUUUGAGUCAGGUUGGUAGUCUGAAAUUACUUAGAAGUACCGUAAACUGGGGGAACUUUGAUCAGCGGGGUAACUUUGAUCAACAUGAAAUUUUUGCAGAUAAUCAUCAUUAACUAAGUAUAAAGUUAAAAUAUCUGAAAACUGUUUACUACGUUUGAAAGCCUGUAAAUUGAGUUACAAAUAAGCUAAGUUUCGUUUUUAUUAGGAGAUUUUUUAUAUAACUUAAAAUAUAAUUUUAAAAUCUUAAAAUAUCUGGUUUUUUAAAGGCUCACAAACAAACAUCUCUCCUGAUCAAAUUUAAGCAUUUAGAAGCAAAUGGGUUGUUUAAUGUGAAAGUUCAACUGUUUUUCUUGGUUCAGGUUAAGUUAAAGUGUUAUUUUUAUAGUCAUUUGAUGAUAAUUUUUGGAUAUUGAAAAAAACGGUCAUUUUCCAUUAAAAAGCCUGUAUAGGAAAAAUGGCUUAAAACCCUAUAAAAAGGUAAAGUUUGAAGAAAAAAACAACGUGGGGACAGUACGAGGACUUCGGAAAUUGCAUGAAGGUAAAAUUUUAUUUGUUUUCGAGGCUAAAAAAUAUUGAGAAAUGUUUAUAAUUUUUGCCCCUGAAUGUAUGCAGCAACAUUGUCCAUUAUUCGAGCAAAUUUGUUUUUGAAAGAAAACGUGGAAAAAUUCAAUUAAGUCCAAACAAAAAAUUUCUGUUAUCGAUGUUUUGAGCCUUCUAUGCUUAAUGGAAUCAAAACAAUAAAUUUGAAGACGUUGAGAUACGUAAAAACCAUAGUGAUCAAAGUUACCCCGAAACUCGAAAUCUGGUUUUGUAACAAACAUUUAAUUAUGACUACAAAUGUCGUUUGAAUUUACUGCAAUCCAUGGUCAUUUUAAAACUCCUCACCUCAGUAAGGGUUUUAAAGCUUUUAGGUAUUACGAAAAAGCAACCCCUUCCAAAAUAUUCUAAAAUGAUUGAAAAAAGUGAUUAAAGUUCCCCCAGUUUACGGUAACUACCAAAUUUUAUACGUGAAACCACUAGAUGUAAAUUCAAACGAAUUAUUAAAACAAUGUCGAACAGAUAUUUUUGUACAGCCUGAUUUUGUGCGAGCGUAGGAUGAUGCAGUGGCGGAUUGAAUUUGAAUUGAAACAUUUCUUACGGGAUUGAAAUCAUAUUUAUUGAAUGAAUUCUAACGCAUACUUAUUGAUAUAAUUAAGGCUAGAUGAUAAGCAACGCAAUCGAUACCUAA